GCAUAACGCGAAGAACCUUACCAAGUCUUGACAUCCCAAUGACCAGCAGAGUAACGUCUGCCUCCCUUCGGGGCAUUGGUGACAGGUGGUGCAUGGUUGUCGUCAGCUCGUGUCGUGAGAUGUUGGGUUAAGUCCCGCAACGAGCGCAACCCUUGUCCUUAGUUACCAGCACGUUAUGGUGGGCACUCUAAGGAGACUGCCGGUGACAAACCGGAGGAAGGUGGGGAUGACGUCAAGUCAUCAUGGCCCUUACGGCCUGGGCUACACACGUGCUACAAUGGUCGGUACAGAGGGUUGCCAAGCCGCGAGGUGGAGCUAAUCUCACAAAACCGAUCGUAGUCCGGAUCGCAGUCUGCAACUCGACUGCGUGAAGUCGGAAUCGCUAGUAAUCGCGAAUCAGAAUGUCGCGGUGAAUACGUUCCCGGGUCUUGUACACACCG
Molecule: ribosomal RNA, 440 nt
Filed under: uncultured bacterium
Lineage: Bacteria
Description: bacterial SSU rRNA
Rfam family: Bacterial small subunit ribosomal RNA
Source: RNAcentral